Long non-coding RNA from Xiphophorus hellerii (green swordtail), 286 nucleotides. RefSeq lists it as uncharacterized. The transcript is spliced from 2 exons. The record is from RefSeq and is a predicted model, not a curated record. Lineage: Eukaryota; Metazoa; Chordata; Actinopteri; Cyprinodontiformes; Poeciliidae.
UGUCUCUGCGAUGUGAUGAAGAAAUAUUAUUUAUAAAAUAUGUUUAUGGUUUUCGUUUUUGCAUAUUAUUGAAAUAUGUUUAAUCCAUGUUAUGUUAGCUUUGCUAUUAUAUUGUUUUUGUUGCGUUAUAGAAAUGUUUAGUUCGUGAGAAAGUGUGGCGGGAAUUUCCCACACGGUAACAUUCUGGCUCCUCCUUGCAGGAGUUUCUUUCAUGCCAGAGACUGACUUUACCUCGGUGCCCAUGUGUGAAAUGCAGGUGGAGAAUUAAAGAAAACAACUGAUGCCA